CAUAUGGUAUUGGCCCUCGAAUUCUGACACAUCUCUAAGGAAAUCUGUCUCAAAGUCUGAUGAUUGAACAAUAGGGCAGCAUGUUAUAACAGCAUGUUUUAUGAGCUGUAUAUGUAUUUUAGAAAUGAAAAAAAGGAGCUGAGGAAAGUCAGAAGCCUAAGUCUGAAAAGAUGUAGAGCUUCCUCUUCCAAGACGACUUAUGUCAGCUACAACAAUCAUGCAAACUGAGUGGGGAAACCAAACAUACCUGAAAACUUGCAGUAUGUGAACUUUAAAAAACAAAACCAACAAUGACUAUAACAUCUUGAGAACUCAGCCUCUGAGAUGUCUCUAGAAAACAGUCAAAACUGUAAAAGGACAAAGAUUAACUAUGCGCCCAAAGCAGGAGGGGCAGGUGGGUUCGAAGAGAAAUGACCCAGAAUUAUAUUAUAUGACUGCGUGUCAAAUGUCAGAACUGUUUACUCAUGAAAGAAGGUGAAUCACAAAAGGAAAACAAAAUGUUAGCUUGUGAAAAAAAUGCUGUUGAAAUAAAAACCAUGUCUGAUGUUAUACUUGUAAGUACUUUUUUGUGAUUGUGAGAAUUUCCAUUCCUGUUCCACACUUGUUCAAAUUGUAUAAGAAGAUGAAGUUUGUUUCUUGUGAUGGCUGACUGAUUUGAAGCCCUGCGUUGUGCUAAUGAUAAAUGCAAUGGUUGACGCAUGCACAUUUUUAUACAAAAUAAUUUAUUUCUAUUAAUAAAGGAAUGUUUUGCAAAUGUUGAGACUUGUUUCGUUGCCAUUUUGGAGAUGUGUUCAAAUGCCUGGCAUAAUUGAGAUCUGCUUAGAGCAAUAAGGAAAAAGAUCUUCAACACAUAAACUGUAAUCAUGAAUUGGGAGACUCGAACUCCAAGUACCUGCGUAUGCUUCCCAUUCAUGGACAAUAUCAAAUGAUGUCAUUUAGCUAAUACAAAUGGCAUUGUGCUUGUGGACAUCUACUUUGAGGGUUAUGCUGAUUUUCUUCCUCCAGCAGAAGAUCAAUUUCUUUAUUUUACAAUGCUUGUUCAAGGGCUUCUGAUGAUAAUCUCUAAAAUUAGAAGUGCUUUAAAAAUAUCUGAUGCAUUUGGAUUGGCAAAUGAAUAAUCUAUAUUAUUAUUCAAUAGUCGGCUGAGAUCUUUUGGCACGGCAUUCAAUGUGCCAAUCACCACCGGGACCACCUGCACUGGUUUCUGCCAGAGUCUUUGCAGUUCAAUCUUGAGGUCCUGAGUU
Molecule: long non-coding RNA, 1244 nt
Filed under: Anolis carolinensis (green anole)
Lineage: Eukaryota; Metazoa; Chordata; Lepidosauria; Squamata; Anolidae
Description: lncRNA (ENSACAG00000039413.1)
Source: RNAcentral